This 3764-nucleotide long non-coding RNA is filed under the name Sus scrofa (pig). RNAcentral's name for it is "lncRNA (ENSSSCG00035022851.1)". Lineage: Eukaryota; Metazoa; Chordata; Mammalia; Artiodactyla; Suidae. The record is from RNAcentral.
UUCUUUUUCUGAGUUCUUGGAUCAUCUUUACAAUCAUUACUAUAAACACUUUUUCAGGUAGAUUGCCUAUCUCCACAUCACUUAAUUGUUGUGUUUUAUCUUGUUCCUUCAUCUGGAACAUACUCCUCUACCGUCUCAUUUUGUCUAAAUGUAUGUGGGAGUUAUGUUUCCCCACCUUGGAAAAGUGGCCCUCUGUAGGGGAUGUCCUAUGUGUCCCACCAGUGCACUCCCCUCUCAUCACCUAAUGGCCAGAGAUCUUGUGGUCCCAGGGUAGGUUUUGACUUGUUUGCUGACUCAGUUCCAUAGGCUGUGGGACCAUAUAUUUCUUGUUCCUGAUGUCUGCUCCCUGGUGGGUGAGGCUGACCUAGAGGUUUGUGCUGGCUUCCUGGUGGGAAGAGCCACUGCCUGCCCACUGAUGGGUAAGAUUGGGUCUUGGCCCCAUGGUGGACAGGGUCAUGUCAAGAGGUGUGUCCAAAAGUGACUGUGGGCUCAGGAAAUUUUUAGGCAGCCUUCGGCUGAGGCCAGGUCUUGGUGCUACUGUCUGAAGCAAGUUGUCACCCUUCAGAUGAGCACUCCUGAAUACAUUUACUACCAGUUUUUUUGUUUGUUUGUUUCAGCUGUACCCAAGGCACAUGGAAGUCCCCAGGCAAGGGAUGGAACCAAGUGGAGACUUUGAUUCUCCUAGUCCUGUGGAGCUCCUGUGGUCAAGUGCUGCUGGCCCUCAGAGCUUUUAGGCCAGACUCCCAGGCUGGGGAGCCUGACGUGAGGCUCAGAACUGUCACUCCUGUGGAUGAACGUCUCUGAUAAAAUUAUUCUCCAGUUUGUGAGGUGCCCACCUUGGGGGUAUGGGAUUUGAUAUACUGUGAGUGUGCUCCUCCUACUGUCUUGUGAUUUCUUCUUUGUCUUUGGAUACAGAAUGUCAUUUUUGGUAAGUUCUAGUCUUUUUUUUGUUGUUGGGUUUUUUUUUUUUUGUCUUUUUGCCAUUUCUUGGGCUGCUCCCGCAGCAUGUGGGAGUUUCCCAGGCUAGGGGUCUAAUCGGAGCUGUAGCUACCAGCCUAUGCCAGAGCCACAGCAAUGUGGGAUCCGAGCCGCGUCUGCAACCUACACCACAGCUCAUGGCAACGCCGGAUCAUCAACCCACUGAGCAAGGGCAGGGAUUGAACCCGCAACCUCAUGGUUCCUAGUCGGAUUCGUUAACCACUGCACCAUGACGGGAACUCCCUUUAAUUAGUCUUUUUUAAGGGCCACUACCACAGCAUAUGAAGGGUCCCAGGCUAGGGGUUGAAUCUGAGCCAUAGCUGCCAGCCUACACCACAGCAAUGCCAGAUCUGAGCUAUGUCCGUGACCUAUGCUGCAGCCUGUGGCAAUGAUGGAAACUAACCCACUGAGUGAGGCUAGGUAUCGAAACUGCAUCCUCACGUAUACUAGUUGGAUUCUUGAACCACAACAGGAACUCUGAUAGUUCCCAGUUUUUUUAAUUGGUAGCUGUUUUACAGUUAUUUGUGAUUUUGGUGUUCUCAGGGAAGGAAGUGAGCUCAAGAUCUUCUAUUUUGCCCUUUCGACCAUAGCCUUCCUUGGCCAGAAGCAAGAUAGGUUGAAGAGUCCACAGAGUAUCACAGCAGAAACUACCUGUUCCAUUCAGUAUCUCACUGUUUAUCACAGAAGACACUCAAACUGACCAAAAUUAAAGGCAAAGAGAAAAUACUGAAAACAGCUAGGGAGGAGAAAUAACAUACAAGGGAACCCUGAUAAGGUUACCGGCAGAUUUUUCAGCAGAAACUCUGCAGGCCAGAAGGGAGUGGCAUGAUAUACUUAAUGUGAGAAAGGGGAAAAAAAUCUCCAACCAAGAUCACUUUACCCAGCAAGGCUCUCAUUCAGAUUCGGAGACAUCAAAAGCUUUACAGAUAAGCAAAAGUUAAGAGAAUUCAGCAUCACUAAACCAGCUUUACAACAAAUACUAAACAAACUUCUCUAGGCAGAAAAGAAAAGGCAACAACUAGAAACAAAAAUACCACAAAUGACACGGCUCACCAGUAAAGGCAUACAUAUACAGUAAAGGAAGGAAAACAUCCACACACAAAUAUGCUACCGAAAUCAGAAAUUGUGAGAAGUGGAGGGUACAAAUGCAGGACACUGGAGAUGCACUUGCAAUUAAGAGAUCUACAAUGUAAAACAAUCUUGAUAUAUACAGAUGCCUAUAUCAAAACUUCAGGGUAUCUGCAAAACAAAAACCUACAAUUGAUACACAUACAAAUAAGAAGAAUCAACUCAAAUACAACACUAAAGAUAGUUAUCAAACCACAAGAGAAGAGAACAAGAAAAAGACCAAAAAAAACAAACCCAAAAGCAAUUAAUAAAAUGGCAAUAAGAACAUACAUAUCAAUAAUUACCUUAAAUGUUAAUGGGCUAAAUGCCCCUCCUCAUCAAAAGACAUGGACUGAUUAAAUGGAUACAAAAACAAGAACCAUAUAUAUGCUGUCUUCAAGAGACCAAAUCCAGUUCUAGGGACAUACAGACAAAGUGAGAGGAUGGAAGAAAAUAUUCCAUGCAAACGGAAAUCAAAAGAAAGCUGGAGUAGCAAUACUCAGACAAAACAGAUCUCAAAACUAAAAAUAUUAUAAAAAACAAGGAAGGACAUUACACAAUGAUCAAAGGAUCAAUCCAAGAAGAUAUAACAAUUGUAAAUACAUAUGCACCCAACACAGGAUCACCUCUCUCUCUCUCUCUCCCUCCCCCCCCAUAUAUAUAUAUACACACACACAUACAAGGUAACUGCUAACAACCUUAAAAGGAGAAACUGACAAGAACACGAUAACAGUGAGGGACUUUAACACCCCACUUACAACAAUGGACAGAUCAUCCAGUAAGAAAAUCAACAAGGAAACACAGGCCCUGAAUGAAGCAUUAGACCAAAUGGACUUAACAGAUAUUUAUAGGACAUUCCAUCUAAAAGCAACAGAAUACACAUUCUUCUCAAGUGAACAUGGAACAUUCUCUAGGACUGAUCACAUUCUGGGCCACAAAUCAAGCCUCAGAAACUUUUUUUUUUUUGGUCUUUUUGUCUUUCCUAGGGCUGCACCCACAGCAUAUGGAGGUCCCCAGGCUGGGGUCCAGUUGGAGCUGUAGCUGCCAGCCUACACCAGAGCCACAGCAACUCAGGAUCCGAGCCGCGUCUGCAACCUACACCACAGCUCAUGGCAACGCCAGAUCCUUAAUCCACUGAGCAAGGCCAAGGAUCGAACCUGCAACCUCAUGGUUCAUAGUUGGAUUCAGUAACCACUGAGCCACGAUGGGAACUCCAAGCCUCAGAAAUUCUAAGAAAACUGAAAUCGUAUCAAGCAUCUUUUCCAUCCUCAAUGCUGUACAAACACGUGGAGACUAAACAAACGACUAAACAACCAAUGGAUCACUGAAGAAAUGAAAAGAGGAAAUUACAAAAUACCUAGCAGCAAACGAAAACAAAGACACAACACUCCAAAACCUAUGGGAUGCAGCAAAAGCAGUUCUAACAGGCAAGCUUACAGCAAUGCAAACCUACCUCAGGAAACAAGAAAAAGCUCGAAUAAACAAGCUAACUUUACAUCUAAAGCAGCUAGAGAGAGAAGAACAGACACAACCUAAAAUUAGCACAGAGGGAAAUAAAUCAUAAAGAUCAGAGCAGGAAUAAAUGAAAUAAAACAGAGAUAACCAGAGUAAAGAUCAAUGAAACAAAAAGCUGAUUCUUUGAAAAGAUCAACAAAAUUGAUAAACCUUUAGCCAGACUU